RNAcentral lists this ribosomal RNA (253 nucleotides) under uncultured bacterium. Its description in RNAcentral is "partial 16S ribosomal RNA". It matches the Rfam family "Bacterial small subunit ribosomal RNA", at positions 524 to 776 of the family's 1533-position model. The record is from RNAcentral.
UACGGAGGGUGCAAGCGUUAUCCGGAUUUACUGGGUUUAAAGGGUGCGUAGGUGGGUCUGUAAGUCAGUGGUGAAAUCUCCGGGCUCAACCCGGAAACUGCCAUUGAUACUAUAGGUCUUGAAUAUCCUGGAGGUGAGCGGAAUAUGUCAUGUAGCGGUGAAAUGCUUAGAUAUGACAUAGAACACCAAUUGCGAAGGCAGCUCACUACGGGAUUAUUGACACUGAGGCACGAAAGCGUGGGGAUCAAACAGG